RNAcentral lists this ribosomal RNA (235 nucleotides) under uncultured Candidatus Saccharibacteria bacterium. RNAcentral describes it as "partial 16S ribosomal RNA". It matches the Rfam family "Bacterial small subunit ribosomal RNA", at positions 584 to 818 of the family's 1533-position model. The record is from RNAcentral. Lineage: Bacteria; Candidatus Saccharimonadota.
UAAGUUGAUAGUGAAAGAGUCCGGCUCAACCGGAUAGACAUUAUCAAAACUGCAAAGCUAGAGGAUGAGAGAGGUUAUUGGAAUUCCUAGUGUAGGAGUGAAAUCCGUAGAUAUUAGGAGGAACACCGAUGGCGUAGGCAGAUAACUGGCUCAUUCCUGACACUAAGGCACGAAAGCGUGGGGAGCAAACGGGAUUAGAUACCCCGGUAGUCCACGCCGUAAACGAUGGAUGCUA